AUGUCCUACGGGGGGCAGCAGUGGGGAAUAUUGGGCAAUGGGCGCAAGCCUGACCCAGCAACGCCGCGUGAAGGAAGAAGGCUUUCGGGUUGUAAACUUCUUUUGACAGGGAAGAGUAGAAGACGGUACCUGUCGAAUAAGCCACGGCUAACUACGUGCCAGCAGCCGCGGUAAUACGUAGGUGGCAAGCGUUGUCCGGAUUUACUGGGUGUAAAGGGCGUGUAGGCGGGAAUGCAAGUCAGAUGUGAAAACUAUGGGCUCAACCCAUAGCCUGCAUUUGAAACUGUAUUUCUUGAGUGCUGGAG
RNAcentral lists this ribosomal RNA (305 nucleotides) under uncultured bacterium. RNAcentral's name for it is "bacterial SSU rRNA". It matches the Rfam family "Bacterial small subunit ribosomal RNA", at positions 334 to 654 of the family's 1533-position model. The record is from RNAcentral.